This 794-nucleotide ribosomal RNA is filed under the name Staphylococcus aureus. RNAcentral's name for it is "partial 23S ribosomal RNA". It matches the Rfam family "Bacterial large subunit ribosomal RNA", at positions 513 to 1314 of the family's 2925-position model. Lineage: Bacteria; Bacillati; Bacillota; Bacilli; Caryophanales; Staphylococcaceae. The record is from RNAcentral.
GGUGAAAAGCACCCCGGAAGGGGAGUGAAAUAGAACCUGAAACCGUGUGCUUACAAGUAGUCAGAGCCCGUUAAUGGGUGAUGGCGUGCCUUUUGUAGAAUGAACCGGCGAGUUACGAUUUGAUGCAAGGUUAAGCAGUAAAUGUGGAGCCGUAGCGAAAGCGAGUCUGAAUAGGGCGUUUAGUAUUUGGUCGUAGACCCGAAACCAGGUGAUCUACCCUUGGUCAGGUUGAAGUUCAGGUAACACUGAAUGGAGGACCGAACCGACUUACGUUGAAAAGUGAGCGGAUGAACUGAGGGUAGCGGAGAAAUUCCAAUCGAACCUGGAGAUAGCUGGUUCUCUCCGAAAUAGCUUUAGGGCUAGCCUCAAGUGAUGAUUAUUGGAGGUAGAGCACUGUUUGGACGAGGGGCCCCUCUCGGGUUACCGAAUUCAGACAAACUCCGAAUGCCAAUUAAUUUAACUUGGGAGUCAGAACAUGGGUGAUAAGGUCCGUGUUCGAAAGGGAAACAGCCCAGACCACCAGCUAAGGUCCCAAAAUAUAUGUUAAGUGGAAAAGGAUGUGGCGUUGCCCAGACAACUAGGAUGUUGGCUUAGAAGCAGCCAUCAUUUAAAGAGUGCGUAAUAGCUCACUAGUCGAGUGACACUGCGCCGAAAAUGUACCGGGGCUAAACAUAUUACCGAAGCUGUGGAUUGUCCUUUGGACAAUGGUAGGAGAGCGUUCUAAGGGCGUUGAAGCAUGAUCGUAAGGACAUGUGGAGCGCUUAGAAGUGAGAAUGCCGGUGUGAGUAGCGAAA